CCAAAUGAUGAGGUAAUUUGCGAUUGACCCUGCGUCUGGAGACCCUCGCCGGGGUCUCAUAACAGCGCAGGUGGUUGAUAUUCACUUCUUACAUAUUCUGAAC
This 103-nucleotide small nucleolar RNA is filed under the name Aspergillus terreus NIH2624. RNAcentral describes it as "A. fumigatus snoRNA Afu_514". It matches the Rfam family "A. fumigatus snoRNA Afu_514". Lineage: Eukaryota; Fungi; Ascomycota; Eurotiomycetes; Eurotiales; Aspergillaceae. The record is from Rfam by way of RNAcentral.